Molecule: ribosomal RNA, 385 nt
Filed under: Methylobacterium sp. P13
Lineage: Bacteria; Pseudomonadati; Pseudomonadota; Alphaproteobacteria; Hyphomicrobiales; Methylobacteriaceae
Description: bacterial SSU rRNA
Rfam family: Bacterial small subunit ribosomal RNA
Source: RNAcentral
CAUGCCGCGUGAGUGAUGAAGGCCUUAGGGUUGUAAAGCUCUUUUGUCCGGGACGAUAAUGACGGUACCGGAAGAAUAAGCCCCGGCUAACUUCGUGCCAGCAGCCGCGGUAAUACGAAGGGGGCUAGCGUUGCUCGGAAUCACUGGGCGUAAAGGGCGCGUAGGCGGCCAUUCAAGUCGGCGGUGAAAGCCUGUGGCUCAACCACAGAAUUGNCUUCGAUACUGUUUGGCUUGAGUAUGGUAGAGGUCGGUGGGAACUGCGAAGUGUAAAGGUGAAAUUCCGUAGAUAUUCGCAAGAACACCCAGUGGCGAAGGCGGCCGACUGGACCAUUACUGACGCUGAGGCGCGAUAGCGUGGGGAGCAAACAGGAUUAGAUACCCUGGU